This 383-nucleotide ribosomal RNA is filed under the name uncultured bacterium. Its description in RNAcentral is "bacterial SSU rRNA". It matches the Rfam family "Bacterial small subunit ribosomal RNA", at positions 28 to 412 of the family's 1533-position model. The record is from RNAcentral.
GACGAACGCUGGCGGCGUGCUUAACACAUGCAAGUCGAGCGGUAAGGCCCUUUCGGGGGUACACGAGCGGCGAACGGGUGAGUAACACGUGGGUGACCUGCCCUCAGCUCUGGGAUAAGCCCGGGAAACUGGGUCUAAUACUGGAUAUGACUCCAUGACGCAUGUUGUGGGGUGGAAAGCCUUGUGCGGCUGGGGAUGGGCCCGCGGCCUAUCAGCUUGUUGGUGGGGUGAUGGCCUACCAAGGCGACGACGGGUAGCCGGCCUGAGAGGGCGACCGGCCACACUGGGACUGAGACACGGCCCAGACUCCUACGGGAGGCAGCAGUGGGGAAUCUUGCGCAAUGGGCGAAAGCCUGACGCAGCGACGCCGCGUGAGGGAUGAC